CCUGGCUCAGGAUGAACGCUAGCUACAGGCUUAACACAUGCAAGUCGAGGGGCAUCAGGAAGAAAGCUUGCUUUCUUUGCUGGCGACCGGCGCACGGGUGAGUAACACGUAUCCAACCUGCCCUUUACUCGGGGAUAGCCUUUCGAAAGAAAGAUUAAUACCCGAUAGUAUAAUGAUUCCGCAUGGUUUCAUUAUUAAAGGAUUCCGGUAAAGGAUGGGGGUGCGUUCCAUUAGGUUGUUGGUGAGGUAACGGCUCACCAAGCCUUCGAUGGAUAGGGGUUCUGAGAGGAAGGUCCCCCACAUUGGAACUGAGACACGGUCCAAACUCCUACGGGAGGCAGCAGUGAGGAAUAUUGGUCAAUGGGCGCUAGCCUGAACCAGCCAAGUAGCGUGAAGGAUGAAGGCUCUAUGGGUCGUAAACUUCUUUUAUAUAAGAAUAAAGUGCAGUAUGUAUACUGUUUUGUAUGUAUUAUAUGAAUAAGGAUCGGCUAACUCCGUGCCAGCAGCCGCGGUAAUACGGAGGAUCCGAGCGUUAUCCGGAUUUAUUGGGUUUAAAGGGAGCGUAGGUGGACUGGUAAGUCAGUUGUGAAAGUUUGCGGCUCAACCGUAAAAUUGCAGUUGAUACUGUCAGUCUUGAGUACAGUAGAGGUGGGCGGAAUUCGUGGUGUAGCGGUGAAAUGCUUAGAUAUCACGAAGAACUCCGAUUGCGAAGGCAGCUCACUGGACUGCAACUGACACUGAUGCUCGAAAGUGUGGGUAUCAAACAGGAUUAGAUACCCUGGUAGUCCACACAGUAAACGAUGAAUACUCGCUGUUUGCGAUAUACAGUAAGCGGCCAAGCGAAAGCAUUAAGUAUUCCACCUGGGGAGUACGCCGGCAACGGUGAAACUCAAAGGAAUUGACGGGGGCCCGCACAAGCGGAGGAACAUGUGGUUUAAUUCGAUGAUACGCGAGGAACCUUACCCGGGCUUAAAUUGCAGUGGAAUGAUGUGGAAACAUGUCAGUGAGCAAUCACCGCUGUGAAGGUGCUGCAUGGUUGUCGUCAGCUCGUGCCGUGAGGUGUCGGCUUAAGUGCCAUAACGAGCGCAACCCUUAUCUUUAGUUACUAACAGGUCAUGCUGAGGACUCUAGAGAGACUGCCGUCGUAAGAUGUGAGGAAGGUGGGGAUGACGUCAAAUCAGCACGGCCCUUACGUCCGGGGCUACACACGUGUUACAAUGGGGGGUACAGAAGGCAGCUAGCGGGUGACCGUAUGCUAAUCCCAAAAUCCUCUCUCAGUUCGGAUCGAAGUCUGCAACCCGACUUCGUGAAGCUGGAUUCGCUAGUAAUCGCGCAUCAGCCACGGCGCGGUGAAUACGUUCCCGGGCCUUGUACACACCGCCC
RNAcentral lists this ribosomal RNA (1383 nucleotides) under uncultured bacterium. RNAcentral describes it as "bacterial SSU rRNA". It matches the Rfam family "Bacterial small subunit ribosomal RNA", at positions 18 to 1395 of the family's 1533-position model. The record is from RNAcentral.